RNAcentral lists this long non-coding RNA (1239 nucleotides) under Capsicum annuum. Its description in RNAcentral is "long non-coding RNA (CANN_LNC011547)". The record is from RNAcentral. Lineage: Eukaryota; Viridiplantae; Streptophyta; Magnoliopsida; Solanales; Solanaceae.
UAAAACCCAACAGUAGAGUGGAUUUCCUCUGGGAUCCAGGUUAAGCAAUCACGUUAAAAGGAGGCAACCGCCUAUUGAAGGGCUAAUGCAAUUACGUUGAAGCUUUGGCUUAGUCUAUUAUCCUCUCAUCUCCUUCUAGUUACGUUCUUCCUUGUAUUAUUCACCAUUAUCUUUUAUUCUCCAUUAGAGUUGUGUCGAGAAAUUUGAGUGAACUAAUUUCAGCUUCACUCAUAUGAAUGGAAUACAAAAGUUUUCUCAAAAACCAACUUGUUUAUCAAGGAUUUAGACUGGUACAAUUUUUCUACCUCAAAUCCUUUCGGAAACAGCUUAUCUACCUCACUUCACGGGGUAGUGAUAAAGAUCUGCGUACACUCUAUCCUUUCCAGACCUCAAUUGUUGGAUCCCCACACUACAACUGAUUGAGUUAACAAGGUGUCUUCCCAAACUUGGGGAAUCUGCUGCUCGAAUUCAACAAGAACAACAAGACCUCGGAAACAACCCAGUGGACGUUCGUAUCUCCGAACCAUGUAAGUAUAUAGUAUUUAUCAGGGUCACCCUCUAUUUCUCAUUCCCAACAAGACCUCGAAAACAACCCAGUGGACGUUCGUAUCUCCAAACCAUGUAAGUAUAUAGUAUUUAUCAGGGUCACACUCUAUUUCUCAUUCCACAAGUCAAGUCGUACAUAAAAGUUAUUUAGCUUUGCACCAUAUUAUUUCACAAAAAUAACUUUGACAAAAUUUGGUUAAAAUCCUACUUAAAAUAUAAGAGAAAUUAACAAGAAUAUCCCUUAUAUUUGAGGGUAGUUCAAAAUGGCCUUAAAUAUAUUUUUGCGCAGUUCUGUUACUUUAGUUUAAGCUUGUUAAAUGUGGCAAAUGGAUUGUUUGGCUAAUGUCCAACGCUGCCAUUAAAUUACAAUAAAAAUAAAAUGAAAAAAAUGAAGAGUAGAUGCUUGUUCUCUUUGUUGUCAUGGCACACGAAUUUUAAAGUAUCGAUUGUAUAAAUUCUAGUAAAAUGAGGUUUACUUGGAUUCAACUGAUCUUUUAUGAAAUAAUUGAAAUAUCAAUAAGUGAAAUAUUUUGUAUAAAUUUUAUCAAGAUAAGUAUAUAUUUAUCAAGGUUACACACAGUUUCUCAUUUUCACGUCACAUCAUACAGUGCCUGAUGAAGGAGAAGAGGUUUAUUAUCUUGAUGUUUCAGAAGAUGAUGAUGAAUGUUGAUGUUGUAGAAGAUUCAGAUGCUG